GCCGCUGGAUAGGUGGGUAGCCUGUGAGCCUCCUGGGGGUUUAUGAAACCAGUGAUGACGCUGUGUCAAAACAGCCUCCGGCCCACGGACCUUCCAUGCCUGCUGACAGAAAAGGGGGAACCUGAUGCUGCCCUGGGCCUGGGGGUCUUCUCCCGGCCCCCACCUUCUGGAGGCGCCGCCCAGGAGAACCUUCCAGAACACGCUGGAGACCAGCACUGUGAAACCACUCGGCAAGAUUCUGGUCUGUUUGGCAUCUCACCUGAUUUGGGGUGGCCUGGGCUCUGAGGAAUUUUGGUCUCAGCGCAGCCCUGGUUGGGAUUGACACUCCUGGAUCCGCCGCCACACACUCAAUUCUGGAGUUGCCUCCCUUCACACUUGAGUUUCUUUAUAUGUGAAACAGGGGUAUUAGACACUCUUCGAUUUUAUCGGGAAGGACUUUGCAAUAAAAUAACUUCUGCUGUG
Phyllostomus hastatus (greater spear-nosed bat) is the source of this 462-nucleotide long non-coding RNA. RefSeq lists it as uncharacterized. The transcript is spliced from 2 exons. NCBI's taxonomy places the organism in Eukaryota, Metazoa, Chordata, Mammalia, Chiroptera, Phyllostomidae. The record is from RefSeq and is a predicted model, not a curated record.